Haliotis rubra (blacklip abalone) is the source of this 460-nucleotide long non-coding RNA. RefSeq lists it as uncharacterized. The record is from RefSeq and is a predicted model, not a curated record. The transcript has 2 exons. Lineage: Eukaryota; Metazoa; Mollusca; Gastropoda; Lepetellida; Haliotidae.
AAUGCUGUUAACCCGUUGAUCGGUCUACACCGACCCAAAUCCAUAUUUAAAGAGGAGAGUUUUAACUCGAAAAGCCCACAAUCAAUACCUUUGUUCGCUAUGUAUUUUUCAUACUGACAGACAUUAUGUAGUAUAACAUUAUUUUCUUGAUCGAGUAAUGUAACCCAAUACUUGAUAAUCUUGAAAUAGUGAUUGACAAAUAAUAUCCUAUUUUAUGUCAAGGGUACCUCUAGACAAGAGACGAUUUCGAAUAACGCAUGCGUCGCUUACGACAGCUGGUCAAAGGGAGGCAACUCUGUUGUCAGAUACUUAUUUCAGCCAACCAAAGGUUUACAAGUAAUCAUCACUUUGGUUAAAACUUGCAGCAUAGAUGCAUAACCUGUACCCUUGCGAACGUGUGUGUAUAAUGUUGGCAAACCUUAGACUGGCCACUCAAACAAAAAUAAUAGACAGUAGUACC